CUUGGCGGCUGGACGGGGCAGGCGCCUUCUGUGUGACCACUCCCCAUGUAAACCAGGCCUAAGGUCACGUCGCCUCGGGGUUACGCUCAUGGCCACGCCUUUGCUUUCCUCACCUUUUUGGGGACGGAAAGAAAUUAAGCGAACACAAGAUGGACGUGGCAGAGGCAGCGUCGAGUCCCUCUCUUCUCACCUGCCUCGUCAGCGUCCGUCCAGGACAGGUGAGCGCUCAUUAGCAUACGUCGUGACACAGGUAAGGAGGUAUACAAGAAGCAGCCUCCUAACACGCCCUUGAAAGCCAUAAAGGUAAUGGUUAGGUCGUGACGGGCCCUUCAC
Eriocheir sinensis (Chinese mitten crab) is the source of this 333-nucleotide long non-coding RNA. RefSeq lists it as uncharacterized. The record is from RefSeq and is a predicted model, not a curated record. Lineage: Eukaryota; Metazoa; Arthropoda; Malacostraca; Decapoda; Varunidae. The transcript is spliced from 4 exons.